UACGGAAGGCAGCAGUGGGGAAUAUUGCACAAUGGGCGAAAGCCUGAUGCAGCUAUGCCGCGUGUAUGAAGAAGGCCUUAGGGUUGUAAAGUACUUUCAUCGGGGAGGAAAAAACAAAACUAAUAAUUUUAUUUCUUGACGUUACCCGAAAAAGAAGCACCGGCUAACUCCGUGCCAGCAGCCGCGGUAAUACGGAGGGUGCUAGCGUUAAUCAGAAUUACUGGGCGUAAAGAGCACGUAGGUGGUUUUUUAAGUCAGAUGUGAAAUCCCUGGGCUUAACCUAGGAACUGCAUUUUGAAACUGAAAUACUAGAGUAUCGUAGAGGGAGGUAGAAUUCUAGGUGUAGCGGUGAAAUGCGUAGAUAUCUGGAGGAAUACCUGUGGCGAAAGCGGCCUCCUAAACGAAUACUGACACUGAGGUGCGAAAGCGUGGGGAGCGAAACAGGGAUUAGGAUACC
This 457-nucleotide ribosomal RNA is filed under the name uncultured bacterium. RNAcentral describes it as "bacterial SSU rRNA". It matches the Rfam family "Bacterial small subunit ribosomal RNA", at positions 340 to 786 of the family's 1533-position model. The record is from RNAcentral.